Molecule: ribosomal RNA, 1372 nt
Filed under: uncultured bacterium
Lineage: Bacteria
Description: bacterial SSU rRNA
Rfam family: Bacterial small subunit ribosomal RNA
Source: RNAcentral
GAUGAACGCUGGCGGCGUGCCUAAUACAUGCAAGUCGAGCGAACGGACGAGAAGCUUGCUUUUCUGAUGUUAGCGGCGGACGGGUGAGUAACACGUGGAUAACCUACCUAUAAGACUGGGAUAACUUCGGGAAACCGGAGCUAAUACCGGAUAAUAUUUUGAACCGCAUGGUUCAAAAGUGAAAGACGGUCUUGCUGUCACUUAUAGAUGGAUCCGCGCUGCAUUAGCUAGUUGGUAAGGUAACGGCUUACCAAGGCAACGAUGCAUAGCCGACCUGAGAGGGUGAUCGGCCACACUGGAACUGAGACACGGUCCAGACUCCUACGGGAGGCAGCAGUAGGGAAUCUUCCGCAAUGGGCGAAAGCCUGACGGAGCAACGCCGCGUGAGUGAUGAAGGUCUUCGGAUCGUAAAACUCUGUUAUUAGGGAAGAACAUAUGUGUAAGUAACUGUGCACAUCUUGACGGUACCUAAUCAGAAAGCCACGGCUAACUACGUGCCAGCAGCCGCGGUAAUACGUAGGUGGGCAGCGUUAUCCGGAAUUAUUGGGCGUAAAGCGCGCGUAGGCGGUUUUUUAGUCUGAAUGUGAAAGCCCACGGCUCAACCGUGGAGGGUCAUUGGAAACUGGAAAACUUGAGUGCAGAAGAGGAAAGUGGAAUUCCAUGUGUAGCGGUGAAAUGCGCAGAGAUAUGGAGGAACACCAGUGGCGAAGGCGACUUUCUGGUCUGUAACUGACGCUGAUGUGCGAAAGCGUGGGGAUCAAACAGGAUUAGAUACCCUGGUAGUCCACGCCGUAAACGAUGAGUGCUAAGUGUUAGGGGGUUUCCGCCCCUUAGUGCUGCAGCUAACGCAUUAAGCACUCCGCCUGGGGAGUACGACCGCAAGGUUGAAACUCAAAGGAAUUGACGGGGACCCGCACAAGCGGUGGAGCAUGUGGUUUAAUUCGAAGCAACGCGAAGAACCUUACCAAAUCUUGACAUCCUUUGACAACUCUAGAGAUAGAGCCUUCCCCUUCGGGGGACAAAGUGACAGGUGGUGCAUGGUUGUCGUCAGCUCGUGUCGUGAGAUGUUGGGUUAAGUCCCGCAACGAGCGCAACCCUUAAGCUUAGUUGCCAUCAUUAAGUUGGGCACUCUAAGUUGACUGCCGGUGACAAACCGGAGGAAGGUGGGGAUGACGUCAAAUCAUCAUGCCCCUUAUGAUUUGGGCUACACACGUGCUACAAUGGACAAUACAAAGGGCAGCGAAACCGCGAGGUCAAGCAAAUCCCAUAAAGUUGUUCUCAGUUCGGAUUGUAGUCUGCAACUCGACUACAUGAAGCUGGAAUCGCUAGUAAUCGUAGAUCAGCAUGCUACGGUGAAUACGUUCCCGGGUCU